Violaceomyces palustris is the source of this 105-nucleotide non-coding RNA. The record is from the annotation of a GenBank genome assembly. Lineage: Eukaryota; Fungi; Basidiomycota; Ustilaginomycetes; Violaceomycetales; Violaceomycetaceae.
GAUCCCUUGGCCAAAUGGUAAGGCGUCCGAUUCCAGCUCCUUCUCUCUCGCAAGUGAUUGAGAUGUGCUUCCGGAAGAUUAUCUGUUCGAUUCAGGUAGGGAUCA